RNAcentral lists this ribosomal RNA (253 nucleotides) under uncultured bacterium. RNAcentral describes it as "partial 16S ribosomal RNA". It matches the Rfam family "Bacterial small subunit ribosomal RNA", at positions 524 to 776 of the family's 1533-position model. The record is from RNAcentral.
UACGUAGGGGGCAAGCGUUGUCCGGAUUCAUUGGGCGUAAAGGGUGCGUAGGCGGCGCGGUAAGUCGGGUGUGAAAUUUCGAGGCUUAACUUCGAAACUGCAUUCGAUACUGCCGUGCUAGAGGACUGGAGAGGAGACUGGAAUUUACGGUGUAGCGGUGAAAUGCGUAGAUAUCGUAAGGAAGACCAGUGGCGAAGGCGAAUCUCUGGACAGUUACUGACACUGAGGCACGAAGGCCAGGGGAGCAAACGGG